Molecule: ribosomal RNA, 250 nt
Filed under: uncultured bacterium
Lineage: Bacteria
Description: partial 16S ribosomal RNA
Rfam family: Bacterial small subunit ribosomal RNA
Source: RNAcentral
AUACGAAGGGGGCUAGCCGUUGUUCGGAAUUACUGGGCCGUAAAGCGCAUGUAGGCGGACAUUUAAGUCAGGGGUGAAAUCCCGGGGCUCAACCUCGGAACUGCCUUUGAUACUGGGUGUCUAGAGUGUGGAAGAGGUAAGUGGAAUUCCGAGUGUAGAGGUGAAAUUCGUAGAUAUUCGGAGGAACACCCAGUGGCGAAGGCGGCUUACUGGUCCAUUACUGACGCUGAGGUGCGAAAGCGUGGGGAGC